Molecule: RNA transcript, 2848 nt
Organism: Beta vulgaris subsp. vulgaris (sugar beet)
Lineage: Eukaryota; Viridiplantae; Streptophyta; Magnoliopsida; Caryophyllales; Amaranthaceae
Exons: 10
Source: RefSeq, a predicted model, not a curated record
UGACAAAGCUCUCGAUGCUCAUGUUGUUGCUAGAAAAAUCGGCCUUGAAUUGAAAGUUUGAAACGAGGCGCAGACACACGACUGCACGAGCAGAACACACCGCACCGCACCGCACCCACUCUGACAUUCUCAUCGGCGGAAAUCUGAGUUGAAGGCGUAACAUCAAAAAUGUUCAAAAAAGCCGUUGAAGCGAAGUCUUUACAGAGGUUAUCAGGCGCUGAUAAGAAGAAGCUCAGAAGAAGCGUCAAAGAAAAGUUUCCCCGAGCUUCUGAUGUUGAUGUUGACACCCUUCUCCCUCCCAAGGGGGAUAUCACUGUUGCAAAAUUUCAAAAUCGAGUCCUUGUGUAUGGUGUCGAAGGUGGCUUCCCUAUGUUCUUUGAUACUGAUGGAAGAGGUUCAGAUAUAUACCCGACAGUUUAUGCUCUCUGGAUGGUCCCUGAUCUUCUGCCUGCUUUCAUGCUAAAGGGCGGAGAGGUCUCUCGAUUUAUAAUUGGAGGGGCAGAUUUGAUGUUCCCCGGUAUCACUAUACCACCGGAAGGCUUUCCGUCAUUUUCUGCUGGGGAGCCGUGGGCAGUUAAGGUUCCUGGCAAUCCUGCUCCCAUUGCGGUUGGUGCAACGACCAUGAAUAGCUCUGAAGCACUAAAAGCUGGCCUACGUGGAAAGGCUUUGAGAAUAACUCACUACUAUCAUGAUUCGUUAUGGGAAUCGGUUGAAGGUCGUUUUGUGCCAAAUGCUGGUUUUUUUGAAGAUGUGGUCUUCCCUGAUCCUUCUUCCUCAUCUUCCAUGGCUUCCAGUCUAUGCGAAGGCGAUGCUUCUGCUGAUCGGAGAAGUGACAACGAAGAAGCAGUUGAGCUAGAUGCUGCGAAUAUUGUUUGCUCAGAAGGUGAUCCUGCUUCCUCAUCUCAGUUGGAUGAUAAAAAUGUUGUUUCUGAACAAGUUGCCUUGGAGUUGAGUGGUCUGGAAGUAGCGGAGAAUGAUGAAAUGCAUAGCGAGAACCAGCACUCAUUGUCAACAGAAGAUGUGGAUGUUCUACUGGACAGGUGUCUUCUGCAAGCUCUGCAUACAACAGUGAAGGAUAAGGAUCUUCCAAUGGCAGGAAGUACUUUAUGGUCAAAUCAUAUUUUGCCGUGUAGACCAUCUGGCAUUACUCUUGAUAUCAAAAAGUCAUCUUUCAAGAAGUUAUCAAAAUGGUUGCAAUUCAAAGCGUCUUCUGGAGUGAUUUCAGUAAAAGAGGACAAACAUAAAAAGGAAGUGGUACUGCUUUCUGUUAAUCGGAGCCAUGUAGAUUACAAAUCCUUCAAGCCUGAUAAAAGACAACCUGAUAAGAUUGAGCAAAGCAGUGAUCAAGCUGCUAUUGAGACUCCAUCACAGAAAUUAUUGGAAAUAGAAGAGGUCUAUAAAUCAAGUAUUCACGUGAACCCUAUAUUGGCUGCUGUUGGAGCUGAUACUGGAGGAUAUUUUAGUGCAUCAGAGGUCACAAAUGUUGCUUUUGCAUAUGUUGAGAAAGAGAAUCUUGUAAAGCCUACCGACAGAGCAAUGGUGAUAUUAGAUACUAUGCUGUGUGAUGCUUUAUUCAAAGGAGCUAUAAAAAAAGGAUCAGCUUAUCCAACUGAAAUUCAUAAGAAGGAUUUAGGUGCGCUGUUUCUGAAUCGAAUGCAAGCUCACCACAAAGUGACUAGAGGAUCUGACUCCGUGAUCAGGAAAGGCGCUGUUAAACCAAUUCACAUCAUGACAGAGAGACGACAAGGGAACAAGAAAGUGACAAAGCUCUCUGGUUUUGAAAUAUUUUUGAUGGAUGCUGAAUCAUUGGCAUCAGAGCUGCAAAAAAAGUUUGCAUGCAGUACCACAGUGGCUGAAUUACCUGGUAAGAAAGGACAUGAAGUUCUGAUUCAGGGUGGCGUCAUCGAUCAUCUUGCAAAACAUUUAAUUGAUCAGUAUGGCGUCCCAAAAAGAUACAUUGAAGUGCUGGAUAAAACCAGGAAGUGAUUGAGGUUGGGGAAGAAGCUGCCUUUAUUCUUCAAUAAUUUGAAGGAUGCAGUGAUUAUACAUGGGAUAGUUGUGUACUCCAUAGUCUGUCAUCAUUUUACUUCCAUCAGCUUGGAUGAUAGCACAGGAAAACAUUGUUCAGAUUUUUGACAAAUAUUAAGUGGACCUAGCAAUCUGCAAAUUAUUCUGUGCACCUUGGAUUAUAAUGAUAGGCGUGAUCCAGGGUGCAAACUACGGGAGGCAAUGAGACGAGAUAACUUGCGAGCUACUCGAGAUUGAUUCGGUCAAAACUUGGUCAAAGCUCGACUCGAGAUGUUGGUUAGUCGAGUUGAGCAACUUCAUACUCGACUCGGAAACUCGUGAGAAGGUCGACUCGAGAUGUUGGUAAGUCGAGUUGAGCAACUCGAUACUCGACCCAAUUAUCAAUAGCAAAAUACUGAAAUUCAAUAUUUUUUUAUCUUAUUGUUUCUUUUUAAAUGAGACACUUGUAAGCUACUUGAAAUUUACUCGGCCAAAUUUUGACUCGGUCAAUGCUCGGACAAAACUCGACUCGAAUGAGUUCGACUCAACUCGAACUCGACUUGCAUCAUUGCCACCCCCUAGUGCAAACUCAAAGAUAUUUCAAUGUAAAUGAAAAGAACAUUAAUGUGAGUCAAAGGUACAUUAAUAGAAAAAAAGUUUAACUAUAAAUGUACCUUUGAAAUAAAGCUAUUGUUCUUUUUGCUAAAUUCUUUUUAAUGUGUGUUUAGGGUAGAAACAAAAGUUUAUUUGUAAACGUACCUUUAAAAUAAGUUAUUGUACCUUUGAAAUACUAGCAAUCUAGCAAUAAAUUAGCCGGGUUUUACACAACCAUUAUUUUGAA